This 273-nucleotide ribosomal RNA is filed under the name uncultured bacterium. Its description in RNAcentral is "partial 16S ribosomal RNA". It matches the Rfam family "Bacterial small subunit ribosomal RNA", at positions 524 to 798 of the family's 1533-position model. The record is from RNAcentral.
UACGUAGGGUGCAGGCGUUAAUCGGAAUUACUGGGCGUAAAGCGUGCGCAGGCGGUUUGCUAAGACAGGUGUGAAAUCCCCGGGCUUAACCUGGGAACUGCGCUUGUUACUGGCAGGCUUGAGUGCGGCAGAGGGGGAUGGAAUUCCGCGUGUAGCAGUGAAAUGCGUAGAUAUGCGGAGGAACACCGAUGGCGAAGGCAACUCCCCUGGGCCUGCACUGACGCUCAUGCACGAAGCGUGGGAGCAACAGGAUAGAUACCCGGGGUAGUCCAA